This 1866-nucleotide long non-coding RNA is filed under the name Canis lupus familiaris (dog). RNAcentral's name for it is "lncRNA (ENSCAFG00000057148.1)". Lineage: Eukaryota; Metazoa; Chordata; Mammalia; Carnivora; Canidae. The record is from RNAcentral.
UUUUUUUUUUUUUAAUUCUCCAGAUGAUUCUGGAGAGAUGGAUGAGAACCACUGCUCAGGCUGGGAUUUACGUUGACAGCCUACUGCAAAGCUAUUUCAGGUAAGAAAAUCAUCAGGAAAAUGAGUAUAAAGGUCCUAUGAUUAAGAAGAGCUAGCAUGUAUGACCAGAGGCAAAGGGUCAUAUUGAGAAAUUAAAUUAGAUUGGUGGUUCCCAAAGUCUCAGGAGGUUUCCACCCCAGGGUAACAAAAACAAGAACUCAUUUGUUUGUUAUGGAGUCUCCAUUUAAGCUCAGGAAGGCCAGCAUUACUCAUUCAGAUUGUAGUUACCUGUGUUUAUGACUGACUGACUUCUGUGAUUUGGGGGAAGACAGGGAGGCAGCGUAAGUUCUUUACUCCAGAAUAGCCCUUAUAUUCUCUUCUCCAACUUGAAUGAUGAAGAUAACUAAGGAUAUUAUGUUGCUAGUGAAGUACUCUGAAACAUGCUAAGAGUACUUAGGACAAUACUGUACUACCAGUGUUUUUAGUUUUGACACAUAAAAAUAAUUGAGUCAGACACAGUAUUCGUAUUAACUCAUGUAACCCUCCCAGCAUCCCUAGAGAUUGAUUCUUCUAUUAACCACAAACAUACGAAACUAAACCAUGGUUAAAAGAAUUUGACAGGGUCACUUAUUAAGUGGAGGAGGUGGGAUUCAAAGCCAGGCAGUGUGUUGUCUUCUAUCCCACUAUACUCACAGAUAAGUUGGAAGAGGACAGCAGGGAUAGGAGGUAUAACUUAAAGGUGGAAGUUUUAAACACCAAGCCAAGAAAUUUGAACUUGUGAAUGACAGAUGCAUAUGGGGUGAAGUGUGACAGAAAUAUUUUUCAGGCAUCUGUUUUUGGAUGGAUUGGAAGAGCAUCUGACACUACUGACUUCCUUGAAAUUCUCUUUACAUUGCCUUUCAGAACACCCUUUUCCGGUUCUCUUUCCUUCUCUCUGGGAUGCAGUUUUCAGGCUCUGAUGCACCUGCUGCCUCCUCCUCCAUCUCUUCCUCUUUUUCCUCCUCCACUUACCCUGGUGUUCUUCAGGGUUCUGAAUUACUCCUCUUCCACCCUUCUGGCUUCUCUAAGAGCUAUGAUUCUUAACAGGGCUGUGGAGGGUGUGGAGAGGGAAAUGUUGAAGUAUCUCAAGUAGAGAUGUACUUUUUAAAAUCCCCUCAGAUGACCAUGAUACACAUACCGCAUUCCAACACACUCACACAACAUAAGACUCACUGACAAAUACGCUGGUGACUCUUAAACCUUCGUGGACAGCCCACCUAUUUUCCGACCCCCUACUGAAUAAUUCAAACCUCACAUACAUAAAACGUAGCUCACUAUUCCCUGGUGCCUCUUUGACAUUCCCCUCCCUCCCCUACACUUAAUGGCAUCAGAUACCAUCUUCACCCAGUCUGACUGUGAGAAUCUUUUCUCACUCAACUUCCCAAAUCUAAUAUCAUACCAAAUCCAUUUGAUUCUUCCUCAGAGCCAGUCCUCCUCUUUCCCACUGCCACUGCCCUAAAUUUUCAUCCUCUCCCCUCUGAAUAAGAGCAGCCACCUUCCAAAUAGGUACCUUAUGUGAAUUCAACCUCUGCAACACUACUAAUUUCUUUCCCUCGGUAGAAGCUGCACAUGCCCCCCCCCCCCACCUUUGUAAACACCUUCCAAAGCUACCUGUUGCCUACAGGAUAAAUGUAGAAACAUCAUGGAGCUUAAAAGAAACAUAACACGUGCCCUAACCCACCUCUAUAACUUCCUCUCUCCAUUUCUUGCCUUCUUCUCCUCCCCUAAACCAUAAACUUCAAUGGCACUAAAUUCAUCCUUCCACGAGCUGACCGUAAGCUUUCAUGC